This 124-nucleotide non-coding RNA is filed under the name uncultured Faecousia sp. RNAcentral describes it as "FMN riboswitch (RFN element)". It matches the Rfam family "FMN riboswitch aptamer (RFN element)". From Rfam's summary of the family: The RFN element is a highly conserved domain that is found frequently in the 5'-untranslated regions of prokaryotic mRNAs that encode for flavin mononucleotide (FMN) biosynthesis and transport proteins. This element is a metabolite-dependent riboswitch that directly binds FMN in the absence of proteins. The record is from RNAcentral. Lineage: Bacteria; Bacillati; Bacillota; Clostridia; Eubacteriales; Oscillospiraceae.
CUCUUCAGGGCAGGGUGAAACUCCCGACCGGCGGUAUAUUGAGUCUUCAAUAUGAAAGUCCGCGAGCCUUCGGGCCGACCCGGUGAAACUCCGGGACCGACAGUACAGUCUGGAUGAAAGAAGA